Molecule: long non-coding RNA, 1355 nt
Organism: Oryza sativa Japonica Group (Japanese rice)
Lineage: Eukaryota; Viridiplantae; Streptophyta; Magnoliopsida; Poales; Poaceae
Source: RefSeq, a predicted model, not a curated record
AUCUAUCCCUUUGAUCCAUCGCCUGUGUCCCCUCCGCCACUCCAUCGCGCGCGGAGGCCAAGCGCCUCCGGCGCCGCCGCCGCUUCCUCCCGGCGGUGCUGCCUCCAGGCGCCACCGACGCUUCCUCCCCACGGCGCUGCCCCAGGUGCCGCCUCUUCCUCCCCACGCUGCGCCGCCCUUCUUCGUGCCACCGCCGCCGCCUCUCCGCUUCGCAGCGCCGGCGCCGACUCCACCUCAAUACGCCAUCACCAGUCGCCCUAGCCCCCACGUCCACCUUCACAGCCGCCCUAGCCCCUUCCUCCGCCACCCGCACCAGCCACCCUAGCCCCCAGUCCCCCACCUCCGCCACCCCCACCUCCACCUCCACCACCCCACACCUCCGCUGCUUCCUCGAGCUCAGCCUCCCCUUACCCCUUCACCCCCAAUCCCUUCCUAAAAAAUCAGGGAAGUGUUCAAGAGCCUCUAAGCAAGUUAUAUGGGUAUUGAAUGAUUGAAGACCACGGGUGUUCGCAUGCAGCAAGACAACAUCAUUUGAAAGGAAGACAUCAAGAAUUGACUUUGGCUGUUUGUAGAGCCCACCAUGUGAAGAACAAGAACUUGCUAUUGGGAGUCAUGAUAGUGAUAUUGAGGCUGACUGUGCUCAUUUGCAAGAAGUGCUUUUCAAUUACAAUGAAAACAUUGUGCACAGAAGAGUUGUACAAAGGGGAACUUCACGAUGUGUUUCUGUCACUCCAAGAGGCCGCACAACCUCUUGCAAUGAAGAUGAAAGCCUUGUUGGCAAGGAUGUUAUACUCUAUGCUGUCACAAGAAAUGAUGUCCCAGUAGCCAAGGCAACAAUUGUCUCAACGAACCCAAUAACAACAGUGGGAGGUCAAGCUCUUGGAGUCCAAUACUAUGAGGUGGUUGUGAAUGUGGUGUUAAAGAGGGACACCGUGCUUCCUUGUCCAUUUCGUAUUAAAACUAUGGCUGAUGCGUAAAUGCUGUCUAUUGCAUGGCCAAAUAACAAAAUCAGGGCAAACAAGAGGCCAGGUAUCUCCCAAUGCGGAGGUGGAGGUUCUGGAAGGACAUAGAGGUGGACCUUGUCUUAUGUUGACAACAAGCUAUGGAGGAUGACCUUGUUUUGGGGGCAAGACAAGGUCAUCCUUUUGUAAUGGAGUUUGCUACAGAGGCGAACUUGUUGGGAAAUGCCAACAUACUGCAUGUAAUGGAGUUUGCUUCAGGAUAGAUAUGGUGGAACUUGGAUGAAAUGUAAAUCUUUUGGACACCUGUUGUAUCUAUGCCACAUGCGUACUGCAUGCAUGUAUGCUUGAAUUAAUCUGUGAAUGAAUUAAAGUUAGUCACUAUUUUGAUUUGAA